CAAUAGCGUAUAUUUAAGUUGUUGCAGUUAAAAAGCUCGUAGUCGGAUUUUGGCUGAGAACGAUCGGUCCGCCGUUAGGUGUGCACUGAUUGGUCUCAGCUUCCUGGUGAGGAGGUGUGCUUCACGGCCACUUAGUCACCGUGGUUACUUUGAAAAAAUUAGAGUGUUCAAAGCGGGCUUACGCUUGAAUAUAUUAGCAUGGAAUAACACCAUAGGACUCCUGUCCUAUUUCGUUGGUCUCGGGACGGGAGUAAUGAUUAAGAGGAACAGUUGGGGGCAUUCGUAUUUCAUUGUCAGAGGUGAAAUUCUUGGAUUUAUGAAAGACGAACUUCUGCGAAAGCAUUCGCCAAGGAUGUUUUCAUUGA
RNAcentral lists this ribosomal RNA (365 nucleotides) under uncultured eukaryote. RNAcentral describes it as "partial 18S ribosomal RNA". It matches the Rfam family "Eukaryotic small subunit ribosomal RNA", at positions 592 to 976 of the family's 1831-position model. The record is from RNAcentral.